CUUCGCCCUUCACCCACCAAGCCCUCGUCGUUCCUCUUCAACCCCAGCAUCCCCCUGGGUUCCUGUGCAGGCCUCGGCUUCCAGGAACCCUGCCUUGGAGUGUGUGUGUGGCUCUGUGACCGGCAAGCAGGAGGCCACGGCUGUCCCACCCUCAGGGCUCUCACAUGGUGAGUGGCUUGGAGGACACCCUCCAUGUGGAGCUCAGGGCCACCACCCCGACAAGGCCUGCAAGCGUGGGCUUGUGCCUAUCACUCAUGCCUUCCCAGCUACCUCGGCCCAGUGAGAGUUGAGCACUGCGCUGAGCGCUCACAGCUGGGUCCCAGGAUCCAGCUCCGUGAGGCUGCCCAACGCAGAGCAGAGGGCAGAGGCAGCCUGGGUGGCCCAGCCACUGCCCCAACCUGAGGUCUCCCAGCAGCACCAGGUCUGGAAAAUGCGAAUCCCAAGAAACAUAAAAGAAACCCUGAGGAUCACAAAGAAAGCUGCGCUCUUGAGAAACAAAUACAUAAACAAAAAUAAAAAGGAGAAGAGAAGCAAGUUCGGCUUAGAAUCAUGGUGAGGACCUGCAGGCAUGCACGUGGACGCUGACCCAUGGAGGGAAUUGGUGUUCUCUGACCAUCCCUUCAGUGCAGAACAUCAGUCACAAUUUAAGUUCUGUUUAGGUAAACAAAUGACCUUUUCCUAUGGGGCAUUUUCAUUUUAUAAGGGUAUGAGCUCAUAGCAGGGCAAAUCACUUGGUAGUUAAGACAUCAGAUGAUGGUUCUCAGGGUGGCCCAGGCAGUAGGACAAUCAGAGACUUUCAGCUGCCCAGACCCCUCCCUGGACAAGAGAUGUGCAUGGCGACCCCGGCCCCUCCCUGUCCAUGUGACUCUCUUCUCCAUGACACUGUACAAAGGAGAGAACGUCCACAGUGACCCAGCCCCCAUCAAGUCACCCAAAGCUUGUGGGAAACAACCAAUAUGGAAAGAUAAAAAUUACUAAAUGCAAAAGCUGCAGGGGAAUGACAGCAAACACAAAUAAAUGAAAUGAAUGUCUUUAACUUAAACUACUUCUGGCCUCACUGUGUGUGCUUUAUGGCUCUAUGAGGUCAUUUUUGUGCAAAUAGGUGCCCAAAAUUGGAGUGCGUUCAAUUGACCAUCCUUCAAAUAAAAAGUGAGCGUAUCCUAAAAUGUAGAGAAGUCAAGCCUUUUUUUUUUUUGAGAUGGAGUCUCACUCUGUCACCCAGGCUGGAGUGCAGUGGUGUAAUCUUGGCUCACUGCAGGCUCUGCCUCCCGGGUUCACACCAUUCUCCUGCCUCAGCCUCCCAAGCAGCUGGGACAACAGGCGCCCGCCACCACACCCGGCUAAUUGUUUUUGUUUUUUUUUUUGUAUUUUUUAGUAGAGACGGGGUUUUACCGUGUUAUCCAGGAUGGUCUUGAUCUCCUGACCUUGUGAUCCGCCUGCCUUGGCCUCCCAAGCUGGGAUUACAGGUGUGAGCCACCGCGCCCGGCCGAGAAGUCAAGUCUUUCAGGACAUACCUAAAGAAGAUAGCAUCCAUGGUGCAUGGAGCAUGUGCCUCACCAGGCAUCACCAUACCCACCACAGCUCAUGCGUGCGGAUGCCUUUGCUACCCAGGACGGCCAUACAAGGAAGCCAUUGGGUCAGUCCUGUGCACAAACGGCAUGUCAAGAAAUUAAAUGAUUUCCUCAGGGCCCCGCAAUUACCUUCAGCAAAGCUGAGAUUCCCAGCCUUCUCUCCGCUCCCUGAGACUGACUCUGAAUUGCUUUUCUGCUGGAGAUGAAAACAAGAACAGAAACAGUGGAAACUAAUCACAUUUUUAAAAGUUUUACAUAACCACUUAAUUAUAAUACGCCUGCCCCAAAAGCACUCCUAACGUCCUAACACAUGGUAACUUAUUUGUUUAAUUUUAUAAGUAUUUUCAGGGACAUGGUGGGAGGGAGAGCAUCAGGAUAAAGAGCUAAUGCAUGUGAGGCUUAAUACCCAGGUGAUGGGUUGAUCUGUGCAGCAACCACCAUGGCAUACGUUUACUUGUGUAGCAAACCUGUACAUCCUGCACAUGUAUCCCGGGACUUAAAAUUAAGUUUAAAAAAAUAAAGUAUUUAUGGAAACAUGGAGCUCUUUCUCUCUCUUUUUCUACUUCAUAGAGUUUUCUUUCUUUCUUUUUUUUUUUUCCAGUACUUGUGAUUUUUCUUUAAACCUCAAAUAUUAUCGUCAUGGAAGAAAUACUCACAGUCCAUCAAGCUUGCCUGUCAGGAGCAUUUCCACCCUACAGACCAGCCAUGGAGGCAGAGUGCAGCCCGGGUCUGUGGGUCACCAGGCCUCAAAUGCCAUCCCAGCGCCAGUGAAAGUUUGCUGUGUUCCUUUACACUGUCCCCUGUGGGCCUGGCUUCCCUGUGAGAAGGUGAGGACUUGGCUCAGCUCCUUAAGUUCCUGUUCAGCUUCAGGUUAGGACUCUAUUAAAUAACAACCCGACACCUUCAGAUUCCUCCUCUACCCUCCAUGAGAUCAGCGACUAGCACCUUGUGCAUCUCAUUUUAGGUGCAUUUUUUUUUUUUUUUUUUUGAGACAGAGUCUCACUCUGUUGCCAGGCUGGAGUGCGGUGGCAUGAUCUCGGCUCACUGCAGCCUCCGCCUCCCAGGUUCAAGCGAUUUUCCUGCCUCAGCCUCCCGAGUAGCAGAGAUUAUAGGCACUCGCUACCACGCCCAUCUAAUUUUUGUGAUUAUAGUAGAGAUGGGAUUUCACCAUGUUACCAGGCUGGUCUGGAACUCCUGACCUCAGGUGAUCCGCCCACCUUGGCCUCCCAAAGUGCUGGAAUUACAGGUGUGAGCCACCGUGCCUGGCCUUGGCUGAUAUCUUAACGUUCAUAUGGUACUUUUUCCCAGAGCCUGUCGUGCCCUGCGCAGCUCCCUGACCAACUGAGAUCAGAUCAGGGAGGUCGUUUGAUCCUGUGUACACCACAGCUGACCGCGUGUGCAGCAGGACCCUCGGCAUGCUCUCAGGAGCUGCAGUCCGGGAAACACAGGAAAGCUGUCGGCUGUGGUGGAGACUUCAGGCUUAGGUCCUGGGGGGAUGGGUCCUCCAGUUCUCCCUCUGGGUCUCCGCGGGAACCCGGGUACUGCCUGUAAAGCCCCAGCCCUCCCCUCACUUGGCUUAAACCGCUGGGCAUUUCCUUCCACAGGUUAAAGAGCCCCAAACAAAACACGCAUUGAAACCUGCCUCCACAGCCCUCUCGGGCCUGCACAGGGCUGACCGGCACCCCUGGAGCCUGUCCACCUCUGGAAGGGCAGUUGCAUGGCUCUGAGCACCGACGGAAACCCCUCGACCUGGAGAGGCCGCCUGCGUGGGGCCGACGUUGCACAGGCUGACCUUGUAGGGCGGUGGGUGGGGGAUGCGGGGCAGGGGGCACAGCCCGGGCGCUCUUCCAGUGCUGGUUUGUCUAUUUCAUGUUGUCCACCCUGUCAUCCACCAAUUGUUCUUUGGGUCCAUUGGUAAUAAUAUCUCCCGCAUGGAUGGGCUCUUCCCAGAGCCUCGUGGGUGCUGAAUGAAGCCCAAGGAAUGGCCUUCACCAGACACUUUGUUUUGUUUUUUCUGUUUAUAAAAGGCAGGGCCCAGAUAGUUUCAUUUUCACAGGGACAUCUGUAAGCACACACUUUGAUUUACACUGGGAAGAGCCAAUGGUUCUCAUUUACAGAGGGUCAAGCUCCAGGAGGGAGGCAAGGGGACGCUUUGGAAAAUAAAGUUCUUCCUUUUACUCCUGUGGGCCUGAUGUGCUCUGUGAAGUUCAAACACUGUAUCGACCAUCUCAACUCUCAGGACAGCAUGUGACACCUCCAUCACUGGGAGCAAACUCUGUGCAGGAGCACCUGAUUCUGCCAGGGCAGGAAAUUCACUCUCAGAAGCAUGUUCCACUCAAGCGGACUUGGCCUGCGCUGUGAGUCAAUGUAAAGAGGGUGUGUUGGCUUCGGCUGGUUGACCUUCAGAAGUCGGAGAAGGCCAAAGUCCCACUGAAUAAACUGCAGAUGAAAGAGACUCAUGGGUCCUCAGAAGGAGGCAUAUGGCUGCUCUCGGGAUCUUGACUUUUGAAAUAUUUGUUUAAAGCAAACACUUGCAGUGGCCGUGGAAAGCCUCCCGUUUCCUCUGGACCCUCAGCCUCUCCCUCGCAGGGCACCGGGCUCUCUCCCUCGGGGACAAUGAGGCGAGAGAGGCUUUUGUUUAUUCUUCAGGAGUCUCUGAGAGUUCACAGUCAUGUUAAAAAUUAACCUGGGGCCAGGCGCGGUGGCUCAUGCCUGUAAUCCCAGCACUCUGGGAGGCCAAGGCACAGGCGGGUCACCUGAGGUCAGGAGUUCAAGACCAGCUUGGCCAACAUGGAGAAACCCCAUCUCUACUAAAAAUACAAAAAUGAGUCGGGUGUAGUGAUGGGUGCCUGUAGUCCCAGCUACUCAGGAGGCUGAGGCAGGAGACUCACUUGAACCCGGGAGGCGGAGUUUGCAGUGAACCGAGGUCGUGCCACCGUACUCCAGCCUGGGUGACAGAGUGAGACUCUGUCUCAAAAAAAAAAAAAAAAAAAAAUUAAGAAAAAGAAAAAAGAGACCAAGCAUGGUGGCUCAUGCCUGUAAUCCCAGCACUUUGGGAGGCCGAGGUAGGCUGAUCACCUGAGGUCAGGAGUUCAAGACCAGCCUGGCCAACAUGGUGAAACCACGUCUCUACUAAACGUAUAAAAAAUUAGCUGGGUGUGGUGGCGAGCACCUGUAAUCCCAGCUACUCAGGAGGCUGAGGCAGGAGAAUUGCUUGAACUUGGGAGGCAGAGAUUGUGGUGAGCCAAGAUCACGCCACUGCACUCCAGCCUGGGCGACAGAGUGAGACUGUGUCUAAAAAAAAAAAAAAAAAAAAAAUUAGCCUGGGCUCACACCAGCCUUGGGCUCCGCCGCUGGGCUCUCCUCAGAGUCCUUGGUCACACGGGCUGACACUUUGCCGAGUCCUGGCCCCAGGCCCAGAGGGACUCACCUUGCAGGAAGGGAGGGCCUCCUGAUUCCGGAUCCCACAGUCUGGAAUCACCAGACUGGGGCAAAUCCAUCUUCUGCCACUAAAACUUACCAGCAUCUUAAAGCCCAAAGUGCCCUUUUAUCUGUAUUUGCAAAUACAAGCUUAUUAUUUUCUAGAAAGAGACUCCUUACAACGAACAAAGUGCAAAGCAGUGUCCAUAUUUUAAUAGGCCUGAGCCUCAGGUGGGUGAUGCCUGCAUUUCAGGCUCAGCUCUGCACUUGAGCUGUAAAUAUGCGUUCCUUGAGAUUAAGACGAAAAGGAAAACCGUCCGACAAAUGUGUUUGGUGGAUUAUGACACCAUGACGCGUGGCCUCAGUUUCCUCACUUUGAAAAAUAUCCUUCAAGCAGCACAGAGCGGGCGGUUUGUCUCACGCUGGAGAAGGAAUUCAGACGCAAAGCUCGCCGCAGCCUCAGAGGGCAGGCGCACCAGGCUCCUGGGUUCUCUCCGUGAAGGAAACUGACGAAGCCUUCCCGAAGGCUGAUUUCUAACUGCCUGAUGCUUCCAACGAGGUGGAGCUGUGGGCACAGACUCCCCUGAAAAGCUGAAGACACGCGCGGAGAGUGGGCACUGGACACUGGUUUCCAGCCCCUUAGCCUGGUGCCUUCAGAGACCGCGCCCCACCUCAGGGCUCGGCUGGCAGCAGGAGCCGGCGUGGAACGGCACAGACGCCGGUGCUGGGGGUUGGGACGGGCGGGAUAGAGCCUCAAGUCUGUCUGCGGCCUGAGGCCUUUCUGUGGGCUGCUGCAGACGAUCACUGCCAGGUGGAGAAGAAAGCCCAAGACAAGCUCUGGUUUUUCUGCAUCUCUUAUUCCCAAACUGAUGUAUAUUUAGCUUCAGAGUAGCUGAACCUCCUCCUCCGCCCCCCAGCCCCCAUCUCCCUGUUAGAAACAAUCUGUGGGACCUGAACAUCCUCCCAGGGUCUAAGACCAGGCUCUCUGCUGAGCCACACUUUGAGAACAGUGCUGUAAUUAAAUACACACGUGUAUUUUUUUAAAAUAACAAAAUAUAUUUAAAAACGUAUUUUUCCUACCUAUUCCCUUGUAAUGUUUCUCUUUAGAUGUGAACAUAAUUAAAUGUAAAUUUGUUUUACUCCAUUUUUAUUAUCCAAGUGUUUUUUACUUUGUGAUUCUUUAAGUUCCUUAGAUUUAUAAUUAUAAAGUUGUUAAAUUUUCUGUUAAAUUUAUAAACUAUAUUUGUCU
This 6240-nucleotide long non-coding RNA is filed under the name Homo sapiens (human). RNAcentral describes it as "HSALNT0116950". Lineage: Eukaryota; Metazoa; Chordata; Mammalia; Primates; Hominidae. The record is from RNAcentral.